RNAcentral lists this ribosomal RNA (492 nucleotides) under uncultured bacterium. RNAcentral's name for it is "partial 16S ribosomal RNA". It matches the Rfam family "Bacterial small subunit ribosomal RNA", at positions 29 to 507 of the family's 1533-position model. The record is from RNAcentral.
AGUGAACGCUGGCGGUAGGCCUAACACAUGCAAGUCGAACGGCAGCACAGUAAGAGUUUGCUCUUACGGGUGGCGAGUGGCGGACGGGUGAGGAAUACAUCGGAAUCUACUUUUUCGUGGGGGAUCACGUAGGGAAACUUACGCUAAUACCGCAUACGACCUACGGGUGAAAGCAGGGGAUCUUCGGACCCUGCGCGAUUGAAUGAGCCGAUGUCGGAUUAGCUAGUUGGCGGGGUAAAGGCCCACCAAGGCGACGAUCCGUAGCUGGUCUGAGAGGAUGAUCAGCCACACUGGAACUGAGACACGGUCCAGACUCCUACGGGAGGCAGCAGUGGGGAAUAUUGGACAAUGGGCGCAAGCCUGAUCCAGCCAUACCGCGUGGGUGAAGAAGGCCUUCGGGUUGUAAAGCCCUUUUGUUGGGAAAGAAAAGCAGCAGGUUAAUACCCCGCUGUUCUGACGGUACCCAAAGAAUAAGCACCGGCUAACUUCGUG